RNAcentral lists this ribosomal RNA (253 nucleotides) under uncultured bacterium. RNAcentral describes it as "partial 16S ribosomal RNA". It matches the Rfam family "Bacterial small subunit ribosomal RNA", at positions 524 to 776 of the family's 1533-position model. The record is from RNAcentral.
UACGUAGGGCGCAAGCGUUAUCCGGAAUUAUUGGGCGUAAAGAGCUCGUAGGCGGUUUGUCGCGUCUGCCGUGAAAGUCCGGGGCUCAACUCCGGAUCUGCGGUGGGUACGGGCAGACUAGAGUGAUGUAGGGGAGACUGGAAUUCCUGGUGUGGCGGUGAAAUGCGCAGAUAUCAGGAGGAACACCGGUGGCGAAGGCGGGUCUCUGGGCCGAUACUGACGCUGAGGAGCGAAAGCGUGGGGAGCGAACAGG